CGUGUAGGCGGCUUGACAAGUCAGAUGUGAAAUCCCUGGGCUUAACCCAGGAAGUGCAUUUGAAACUGUCAGGCUAGAGUAAGGGAGAGGAAAGUGGAAUUCCUGGUGUAGAGGUGAAAUUCGUAGAUAUCAGGAGGAACACCGGUGGCGAAGGCGACUUUCUGGCCCUAUACUGACGCUGAGACGCGAAAGCGUGGGUAGCAAACA
This 207-nucleotide ribosomal RNA is filed under the name uncultured delta proteobacterium. RNAcentral's name for it is "partial 16S ribosomal RNA". It matches the Rfam family "Bacterial small subunit ribosomal RNA", at positions 568 to 774 of the family's 1533-position model. Lineage: Bacteria; Deltaproteobacteria. RNAcentral also lists the same sequence under 1 other name. The record is from RNAcentral.